CGCUUGCACGAGUCUCAGACUCCGUAGGCAUAAAGCUCAGUAACACGUGGCCAAACUACCCUACAGACCGCAAUAACCUCGGGAAACUGAGGCCAAUAGCGGAUAUAACUCUCAGGCUGGAGUGCCGAGAGUUAGAAAUGUUCCGGCGCUGUAGGAUGUGGCUGCGGCCGAUUAGGUAGAUGGUGGGGUAACGGCCCACCAUGCCGAUAAUCGGUACAGGUUGUGAGAGCAAGAGCCUGGAGACGGUAUCUGAGACAAGAUACCGGGCCCUACGGGGCGCAGCAGGCGCGAAACCUUUACACUGCACGACAGUGCGAUAGGGGGACUCCGAGUGUGAGGGCAUAUAGCCCUCGCUUUUCUGUACCGUAAGGUGGUACAGGAACAAGGACUGGGCAAGACCGGUGCCAGCCGCCGCGGUAAUACCGGCAGUCCAAGUGAUGGCCGAUAUUAUUGGGCCUAAAGCUCCCGUAGCUAAUCCGGUUGAUCCUACCAGA
RNAcentral lists this ribosomal RNA (494 nucleotides) under halophilic archaeon. RNAcentral's name for it is "bacterial SSU rRNA". It matches the Rfam family "Archaeal small subunit ribosomal RNA", at positions 56 to 547 of the family's 1478-position model. Lineage: Archaea; Methanobacteriati; Methanobacteriota; Halobacteria; Halobacteriales. The record is from RNAcentral.